RNAcentral lists this ribosomal RNA (433 nucleotides) under uncultured bacterium. RNAcentral's name for it is "partial 16S ribosomal RNA". It matches the Rfam family "Bacterial small subunit ribosomal RNA", at positions 29 to 507 of the family's 1533-position model. The record is from RNAcentral.
AACGAACGCUGGCGGCAUGCCUAACACAUGCAAGUCGAACGAGACCUUCGGGUCUAGUGGCGCACGGGUGCGUAACGCGUGGGAACCUGCCCUUAGGUUCGGAAUAACUCCCCGAAAGGGGUGCUAAUACCGGAUAAUGUCUUCGGACCAAAGAUUUAUCGCCUUUGGAUGGGCCCGCGUUGGAUUAGCUAGUUGGUAGGGUAAAAGCCUACCAAGGCGACGAUCCAUAGCUGGUCUGAGAGGAUGAUCAGCCACACUGGGACUGAGACACGGCCCAGACUCCUACGGGAGGCAGCAGUGGGGAAUAGUGGACAAUGGGCGAAAGCCUGAUCCAGCAAUGCCGCGUGAGUGAUGAAGGCCUUAGGGUUGUAAAGCUCUUUUACCCGGGAUGAUAAUGACAGUACCGGGAGAAUAAGCUCCGGCCAACUCCGUG